GGGUGCGAUCAUCCCAGGAUUAAUGAACCGGAUCCCAUCAAAACUUCGCGGUUAAGCGUUCUUAGGCGAGAGUAGUACUAGGAUGGGUGACUUCCUGGGAAGUCCUCGUGUUGCACCCC
RNAcentral lists this ribosomal RNA (119 nucleotides) under Gossypium arboreum. Lineage: Eukaryota; Viridiplantae; Streptophyta; Magnoliopsida; Malvales; Malvaceae. The record is from RNAcentral.